This is a long non-coding RNA of Tachysurus vachellii, 350 nucleotides long. RefSeq lists it as uncharacterized. The transcript is spliced from 3 exons. The record is from RefSeq and is a predicted model, not a curated record. NCBI's taxonomy places the organism in Eukaryota, Metazoa, Chordata, Actinopteri, Siluriformes, Bagridae.
GGGAGCGAGGCAGCAAAAAGCGCGAUGGGUCUUGGCUGGCCUGCAAGGUGGUGAGACGAAUCUUAAACGAACUUAAAGACUCUCCAAGACUGAUCGUCCUAGGUGAAAUCCUCACUGCAACUCCGUUGGUGCUGAGUAUUGAAGGUCAGGUGUUUGUGAAUCCACACCCCAAGCUUGUGGCUGGAUUUGCAGCUUUGUUUGCAUCUUACUACGACUUCAACCUGGUUUACCAGGAGGAGGCAUCCUCCACACUUGAAUUUGUUCAAAGGUAAUUAUAUUCAAAUAGGUAGCUCUUUGUUUUAUAGCAGUGUUUCUCAACCAGGGGGAUGGGACCCUCAACAUAUUUCCAA